This 1241-nucleotide ribosomal RNA is filed under the name metagenome. RNAcentral's name for it is "bacterial LSU rRNA". It matches the Rfam family "Bacterial large subunit ribosomal RNA", at positions 1564 to 2814 of the family's 2925-position model. The record is from RNAcentral.
UGAAUACGAGAUGCUACGGCGUCGAAGCAGUCUAUGUCAUACUUCCAAGAAAAGCUCGCACUGUCAUAAACAAAUAAUGCCUGUACCAUAACCGACACAGGUGGGUAGGUAGAGUAUACUAAGGGGCGCGAGAUAACUCUCUCUAAGGAACUCGGCAAAAUGACUCCGUAACUUCGGGAGAAGGAGUGCCUUAUUUAUAAGGUUGCAAUAACAAGAUCCAAGCAACUGUUUAUCAAAAACACAGGUCUCCGCUAAGUCGUAAGACGAUGUAUGGGGGCUGACGCCUGCCCAGUGCCAGAAGGUUAAAGAAGUUGGUUAGCAUUCGCGAAGCUGAUAACUGAAGCCCUGGUGAACGGCGGCCGUAACAAUAACGGUCCUAAGGUAGCGAAAUUCCUUGUCGGGUAAGUUCCGACCCGCACGAAAGGCGUAAUGAUUUGGAUACUGUCUCGGAGAGGGGCUCGGUGAAAUAGACUUGUCUGUGAAGAUGCGGACUACCUGCACCAGGACAGAAAGACCCUAUGAAGCUUUACUGUAACUUGAGAUUGAAAUUGGACUUUACUUGCGCAGUAUAGGUGGGAGGCGUUGAUAAUAUUCUUGCGGGAUUAUUUGAGCCAUCAGUGAGAUACCACUCUUGUAAUGUUAGAUUUCUAACUUUGUAUCAUUAUCUGGUCAAAGGACAGUUUCAGGCGGGCAGUUUGACUGGGGCGGUCGCCUCCUAAACGGUAACGGAGGCGCACAAAGGUUUCCUCUGAACGGGUAGAAAUCGUAUCUAGAGUGUAAAGGCAUAAGGAAGCUUGACUGUGAGACCUACAAGUCGAGCAGGGACGAAAGUCGGUCUUAGUGAUCUGACGGUGCUGAGUGGAAAGGCCGUCACUCAACGGAUAAAAGUUACCCUAGGGAUAACAGGCUGAUCUCCCCCAAGAGUUCACAUCGACGGGGAGGUUUGGCACCUCGAUGUCGGCUCAUCGCAUCCUGGGGCGGUAGUACGUCCCAAGGGUUGGGCUGUUCGCCCAUGAAAGCGGUACGCGAGCUGGGUUCAGAACGUCGUGAGACAGUUCGGUCCAUAUCCGGUGUAGGCGUUAGAAUAUUGAGAGGAGCCUUCUUUAGUACGAGAGGACCGAGAAGGACAUACCUCUGGUGUACCAGUUAUCGUGCCAACGGUAAACGCUGGGUAGCUAUGUAUGGAGUGGAUAACCGCUGAAAGCAUCUAAGUGGGAAGCCCACCUCAAGAUAAGUAUUCU